CCUCCCCUCCUGAUCCUUUCAGACAAUUCCUACCAGAAUGUGGGCAGAGAGCACUGACUUGGUUUUGGUCACUUCUUUCUCCAAGGGAUGAUAACUUCUAUCACAGAGUGCUGCUUUGAGCAGUCCCAGGGAGGUCUGUUGUCUGUCCAUCUCUGCUUGUCACCCCGUAUCUUUGCUGCCUUCCCAUUAAAUACAAGGAUGGGGAUUUCUCAGCUUGCUGGGAAAGUGCUGCCGGUGCUUAACUACUCAGACUUGUUCAGAGCACUCGGGGUGCCCCUGAAGGAGGCAUGUUUUUUCUCCAAACCUCAGGUGUGCUGGAGUGCCCAGGUGUUUCCUCUCCUCUUGGAGAACUGUAGUGGAAAUGCUAAGUCACAGCUUGAAGCAGUUACUGAGCACCUGGUGGAAAGGCAGGGCCAACCCAGGGGAGCUCAGGUGCAUGCAAUGCACCCCUUCCUAGACCUCAUUUAAGGGCUGGCAGUGGAGACAAAGGUAGCUUGCUGGAGAUCCCUGCCUACCUGAGGCCUUCCAAGGGUAAGUAGAUUCUUUCUAUUAUUUCUUUAUCCACAGACUUUGCUACUUUGCUGCCGUUGCUGUGCUUUCCGUUGUGUUAUAGCGUUACAAGGACAUAGGAAUUGCAGUCUUCUUCCCCUCCUGUUUGUCUGAGUGGCUGUGGUAGUUUUGGUGGCAAGUAGCAAUGAUUGUGCAGCCCGUUGACUUCAGAGAUGAACUUGGUUCAGGGAAUGAGGAUCUAAGCCCAUCCCUGUAGCUCCCUGCAGGAAUGCAGAGUUAUCCAGGGGAAAGGGCAAUAGCAUCAGAAUGACUAAUGCUGCUGAAGGGAGGGACUGGGCUUGGAGAAGUUCAGACUCUACUCAGGCUGUUGGGACUUGCAAGCAGUGCUUCGUAGAACAUCGCUGUGCUGCAGGAGCUAGCAGUGAGACAGGCAUCUCAGAGGCUUGGGCUAUCAUGGUCAAAUACAUGGCAGAGAUGGCACCUUCCCAUGUAGCAGCAGGUGGUGUGCUGACGGACCCAUCUGCUGGUGGUGACACAGAAUUGUUCUUGCUCGCUGCAGGAAGCCGGGUUUUGUCUGGGCUCAGUUCUCGGGGCUGCUCCUGCUGGGGCUGCCUGCGUUGGCAGAACAGGUUUUGUUUCACCUUCGAAGCUAAAACAGAUUUGACACAAUGAAUUUAUUAAGAUAAGAGAGGCCACGCUGGCAAACAGUUUGUCGUAGCCGAGGCCUGUUUUGAAUCAAGACAACGUGUCUGCCUGCUUCAUGGGGUCAGGUUGGAAACCAGAUGGGCUACUGGGAAUAACCAGGGUCAUCCCAAUACCAUUCGUGCGAGGCCGCGGCAGUGAUGAAUUGUGUGAGGCUGUGCAGAGACCUGCUCCAGAGGGAAG
RNAcentral lists this long non-coding RNA (1395 nucleotides) under Gallus gallus (chicken). RNAcentral's name for it is "lncRNA (ENSGALG00010028308.1)". The record is from RNAcentral. Lineage: Eukaryota; Metazoa; Chordata; Aves; Galliformes; Phasianidae.